GGCCUAGUAGUGUAAUGUUAACACUGCUCUAAUUGUAUCCAAUGAUUGUGGUACGCAGGAGUCCCUUGUUCGAGUCAAGGCUAGGCCA
This is a non-coding RNA of Mycena galericulata, 88 nucleotides long. Lineage: Eukaryota; Fungi; Basidiomycota; Agaricomycetes; Agaricales; Mycenaceae. The record is from the annotation of a GenBank genome assembly.